CCAUGUGGUUUAAUUCGAAGCAACGCGCAGAACCUUACCAGCCCUUGACAUCCCGAUCAGGAUUAUCAGAGAUGAUGAUUGUCGGUUCGGCCGGAUCGGUGACAGGUGCUGCAUGGCUGUCGUCAGCUCGUGUCGUGAGAUGUUGGGUUAAGUCCCGCAACGAGCGCAACCCUCGCCCUUUGUUGCCAUCAUUAAGUUGGGCACUCUAAGGGGACUGCCGGUGAUAAGCCGAGAGGAAGGUGGGGAUGACGUCAAGUCCUCAUGGCCCUUACGGGCUGGGCUACACACGUGCUACAAUGGUGGUGACAGUGGGCAGCGAGACCGCGAGGUCGAGCUAAUCUCCAAAAGCCAUCUCAGUUCGGAUUGCACUCUGCAACUCGAGUGCAUGAAGUUGGAAUCGCUAGUAAUCGUGGAUCAGCAUGCCACGGUGAAUACGUUCCCGGGCCUUGUACACACCGCCCGUCACAC
RNAcentral lists this ribosomal RNA (468 nucleotides) under uncultured Hyphomicrobiales bacterium. Its description in RNAcentral is "bacterial SSU rRNA". It matches the Rfam family "Bacterial small subunit ribosomal RNA", at positions 937 to 1402 of the family's 1533-position model. Lineage: Bacteria; Pseudomonadati; Pseudomonadota; Alphaproteobacteria; Hyphomicrobiales. The record is from RNAcentral.